AAAAAUGGUUAAAACAUAUCUUGAAGAAGAACUAGAUAAGUGGGCCAAAAUAGCAGCCUAUGGUCAUGAAGUGGGGAAGCGUCCUUGGAUUACAGGAGAUGAGAGUAUUGUAGGCCUUAUGAAGGACAUUGUAGGAGCCAAUGAGAAAGAAAUAGCCCUAAUGAAUGCUUUGACUGUAAAUUUACAUCUUCUAAUGUUAUCAUUUUUUAAGCCUACGCCAAAACGAUAUAAAAUUCUUCUAGAAGCCAAAGCCUUCCCUUCUGAUCAUUAUGCUAUUGAGUCACAACUACAACUUCACGGACUUAACAUUGAAGAAAGUAUGCGGAUGGUAAAGCCAAGAGAGGUAUAUGAGAAAGAAAGAAAUAUUCAUCAUGCUUUGUUCAGUAUUGAUUUUUUCUUCAUUUUCCUCAAAAGUUUAUUAAAAUCUUCAUUACUUUAAUGGAACUUUCAAGAAAGCAUGAAGGACCUAUACUUCUGUUACUAUUAGAUCAUUUUGCUUAAAAUAGAGAAUAACUCAGAUUUGUAUUUAUUUUCAUUUUUCAAGGGCUAGCCAUAUGGCAAGCAAACUAUUUUUCUGUUAAUACCGCUGGAUUCUGCCAUAUUCUUCAAUGGGAUGGGAAAAGGGUGACAAAUUUAGUAUAUCAUUUUCUAUUUCAAAUGUCAUGCCCAUGGGUGCCAUUAAAAUCAUGCUAAAGACCAGAA
RNAcentral lists this small RNA (702 nucleotides) under Pongo abelii (Sumatran orangutan). Its description in RNAcentral is "retained intron". Lineage: Eukaryota; Metazoa; Chordata; Mammalia; Primates; Hominidae. The record is from RNAcentral.